GACGAACGCUGGCGGCGUGCCUAAUACAUGCAAGUAGAACGCUGAAGCGAGGAGCUUGCUCUUCUUGGAUGAGUUGCGAACGGGUGAGUAACGCGUAGGUAACCUGCCUUGUAGCGGGGGAUAACUAUUGGAAACGAUAGCUAAUACCGCAUAACAAUGGAUGACACAUGUCAUUUAUUUGAAAGGGGCAAUUGCUCCACUACAAGAUGGACCUGCGUUGUAUUAGCUAGUAGGUGAGGUAAUGGCUCACCUAGGCGACGAUACAUAGCCGACCUGAGAGGGUGAUCGGCCACACUGGGACUGAGACACGGCCCAGACUCCUACGGGAGGCAGCAGUAGGGAAUCUUCGGCAAUGGGGGCAACCCUGACCGAGCAACGCCGCGUGAGUGAAGAAGGUUUUCGGAUCGUAAAGCUCUGUUGUAAGUCAAGAACGGGUGUGAGAGUGGAAAGUUCACACUGUGACGGUAGCUUACCAGAAGGGACGGCUAACUACGUG
Molecule: ribosomal RNA, 496 nt
Filed under: uncultured bacterium
Lineage: Bacteria
Description: partial 16S ribosomal RNA
Rfam family: Bacterial small subunit ribosomal RNA
Source: RNAcentral